This 406-nucleotide ribosomal RNA is filed under the name uncultured bacterium. RNAcentral describes it as "partial 16S ribosomal RNA". It matches the Rfam family "Bacterial small subunit ribosomal RNA", at positions 30 to 526 of the family's 1533-position model. The record is from RNAcentral.
AUUGAACGCUGGCGGCAGGCCUAACACAUGCAAGUCGAACGAGUGGCGGACGGGUGAGUAAUGUCUGGGAAACUGCCUGAUGGAGGGGGAUAAAUACUGGAAACGGUAGCUAAAACCGCAUACCAUAAGAUGUGCCCAGAUGGGAUUAGCUUGUUGGUGGGGUAACGGCACACCAAGGCGCCGAUCCCUAGCGGGUCAGAGAGGAUGGCCAUGCGCACUGUAAUUAAGACACGGUCCUGGCGCCGCCGGGAGGCAAAAGUGGGGAAUAUUGCACAAUGGGCGAGAGCCUGAUGCAGCUGUGCCGCUUGUAUAAAGAAGGCCUUCGGGGUUUAAAGUACUUUCAGCGGGGAGGCGUUACCCGCAGAAGAAGCAACGGCUAACUCCGUGCCAGCAGCCGCAAUAAUUC